This 472-nucleotide ribosomal RNA is filed under the name uncultured bacterium. Its description in RNAcentral is "bacterial SSU rRNA". It matches the Rfam family "Bacterial small subunit ribosomal RNA", at positions 331 to 795 of the family's 1533-position model. The record is from RNAcentral.
CCAGACUCCUACGGGAGGCAGCAGUGGGGAAUAUUGCACAAUGGGCGCAAGCCUGAUGCAGCCAUGCCGCGUGUAUGAAGAAGGCCUUCGGGUUGUAAAGUACUUUCAGUCGGGAGGAAGGUGUCAAGGUUAAUAACCUUGGCAAUUGACGUUACCGACAGAAGAAGCACCGGCUAACUCCGUGCCAGCAGCCGCGGUAAUACGGAGGGUGCAAGCGUUAAUCGGAAUUACUGGGCGUAAAGCGCACGCAGGCGGUCUGUCAAGUCGGAUGUGAAAUCCCCGGGCUCAACCUGGGAACUGCAUUCGAAACUGGCAGGCUGGAGUCUUGUAGAGGGGGGUAGAAUUCCAGGUGUAGCGGUGAAAUGCGUAGAGAUCUGGAGGAAUACCGGUGGCGAAGGCGGCCCCCUGGACAAAGACUGACGCUCAGGUGCGAAAGCGUGGGGAGCAAACAGGAUUAGAUACCCCUGUAAUC